AAAAAGGAGUAUGUAAUGGACUUGCUGGCUUUAAUGUAAAAAGCCUGUUGUGUAACUUUAAUGAGGCAGUUGGACUAAAACAGUAUUGCUCAUCAAGGUAAACAUCUGAGGAAUAAGGAAAUUGUUACUUGUCCUUUUACUCAGUGUUCUUUUAAUCGCACGUUUACUAAAGUUUUACAUCACAUAAGUCAUUUUCACAAUCAUUCUACUUUAAAAGAUUUCAAGACAGAGCUUAUUGUUCUCUGAACUUCCUUGUUUGCUGAACGGCAGGUUGAAGCAGAAUUUGCCCGUCUUACAUCUGUUGACCUGAAAGGGUUCCUUUUUGCUGUGCUUGACCAUUAUGGAGAGGUUCGUGGAGCUGUACAAAAUCAAGAGCGGCAUAGGAGGGCUAACUAGGCUCAUAAGAUGCUUCGGAGAUGAUAGCCCUACACAAAGGAAGAGGACAGAGGACCUCAUUUUCUAAAGGAAGAUCCCUCACACACUUUCAAGACUGUGAAGCCGACAGGUAUUGAAGACACGUUUUCUAAGAGGAUGAAAGUUGGCAUUGCGAUGGUGAAAGAAGAAGACAUCAUCGAUGUGUUGGUUGUCCUUGAGGCGGCAGUAAUCCUGUCUAAUCUGAGGGAUGUCUCA
This is a long non-coding RNA of Oreochromis aureus, 630 nucleotides long. The record is from Ensembl. NCBI's taxonomy places the organism in Eukaryota, Metazoa, Chordata, Actinopteri, Cichliformes, Cichlidae.